RNAcentral lists this transfer RNA (75 nucleotides) under Planctomycetia bacterium. RNAcentral describes it as "tRNA-Glu". It matches the Rfam family "tRNA". Rfam says of the family: Transfer RNA (tRNA) molecules are approximately 80 nucleotides in length. Their secondary structure includes four short double-helical elements and three loops (D, anti-codon, and T loops). Further hydrogen bonds mediate the characteristic L-shaped molecular structure. tRNAs have two regions of fundamental functional importance: the anti-codon, which is responsible for specific mRNA codon recognition, and the 3' end, to which the tRNAs corresponding amino acid is attached (by aminoacyl-tRNA synthetases). tRNAs cope with the degeneracy of the genetic code in two manners: having more than one tRNA (with a specific anti-codon) for a particular amino acid; and 'wobble' base-pairing, i.e. permitting non-standard base-pairing at the 3rd anti-codon position. The record is from RNAcentral. Lineage: Bacteria; Pseudomonadati; Planctomycetota; Planctomycetia.
UGGCCCGUUGGACCUUUGGAGGUGGUCGUCGCCCUUUCACGGCGAAGGAACCGGUUCGAUUCCGGUACGGGUCAU